CAAACCUGCAAUGCCUGCAAAUAUCCAGUUCUGAUAAGCAUUCUAUGUAUCCUCUGAUUUAAAGCUGACAUGAUGUAACUUAGUAAUUUUGGGAAAGAAAAUUCAAAGGAAUUCAUUUGGUUAACCAUAAGAUGCAAAAAGUGGGACGAGUUAUAGCAUUAUGCUGAAAAAUUAGGAGGCUCACAAGAAAAACCAACGAGAAUGCGAAGACAAAGUUAGACAGUAAGUUUAGCCUGAAGGAAAGCCACUCCAUUGCUGACACAUUAUGGAACCAGGGCCUAGAGUAGCCAUCAAUAAGGCUGAGAUUUGCAUUAGUGAAACGGCCUUCUUGGUCGAAAGCUCGGAUUGUUACUGCUCCCAUUAGUGAUUCUCCAAAAUGGUGGAGAAUUGGUGCUCUUCGAAUCCCGAUAAGGCGGGCGAGUUCUCUUGCAGUUGAUUGCUGUAACUGGAAUGAAGAUCGCGAACACUUGCCAUGCUACCUGUGACAUCACAGCGAUAGUACCCAAAAUCCGUAUUAUUGAAAAUGCGCACCAACCUAUUUUCCCUGCCAUUUCCAAGUCUAGCACACUUUGAUCUGUAGAAGCCUGCGAUUAAAAUAAUAAAGGAUAUCAGGUCAUAUGCAGUAAUAUGGAGUCAUUGAUCUCUAAGAGAUGGGCAUCUGACAUAUUAAGAGUGAUCUGCUUAAAUGGACCAUACGGGACUCCAUCUUUGCUGCGUCCCCAGGUUGCAUCCCGUGGAGCUUCAGUGAAACCAGAGUAGCCAGGGGCAGAGAAAUUCUCACCUCGGUACUCCGGAAUCCCAGCUCCAUUGAUUUGAGAGUUCUUUGUUUUAGAGCACAUUUAAUUUCCUAAAUUAAAUCCACUUGGUUCUAUUUUUAUUUAGAUCAUACAUGAAAAAGCUGUUCUUUUCCAUCUCUUAUGUCAAGUUUCCAGUAUUGUGGGUCUUGGGAAAUUCAGGACUUGGAGAUCAUUGUUUCUUGGCUACUUCUACUGCUCUUCUAAUGCGCUUGGAAUUCAAAUUUCUUUCCUAAUAAAAGGGCAUAAUAAUUUGGAGUUA
This is a long non-coding RNA of Macadamia integrifolia, 1056 nucleotides long. RefSeq lists it as uncharacterized. The transcript is spliced from 5 exons. The record is from RefSeq and is a predicted model, not a curated record. Lineage: Eukaryota; Viridiplantae; Streptophyta; Magnoliopsida; Proteales; Proteaceae.